GACGAACGCUGGCGGCGUGCCUAAUACAUGCAAGUUGAGCGCUGACGGUUGGUACUUGUACCCACUGGAUGAGCAGCGAACGGGUGAGUAACGCGUGGGGCAUCUGCCUUUGAGCGGGGGACAACAUUUGGAAACGAAUGCUAAUACCGCAUAAAAACUUUAACCACAAGUUUCAAGUUUGAAAGAUGCAAUUGCCUCACUCAUAGAUGAUCCCGCGUUGUAUUAGUUAGGUGGUGAGGUAAAGGCUCACCAAAGCGAAGAUACAUAGCCGACCUGGGAGGGUGAUCGGCCAAAAUGGGAAUGAGAAACCGGCCAAACCUCUACGGGGGGCAGCAGGAGGGAAACAUCGGAAAAUGACGAAAGGCUUGCCGAGGAACGCCGCGGUAGGUGAGGAAGGUUUCGGAUCGUUAAACUCUGUUUGUAGAGAAGGAAGUGGAGGAGAGUGAAAAGCUCAUCAAGUGACGGUAACUACACAGAAAGCGACGGCUAACUACGUG
RNAcentral lists this ribosomal RNA (497 nucleotides) under uncultured bacterium. RNAcentral's name for it is "partial 16S ribosomal RNA". It matches the Rfam family "Bacterial small subunit ribosomal RNA", at positions 28 to 507 of the family's 1533-position model. The record is from RNAcentral.